This 424-nucleotide ribosomal RNA is filed under the name uncultured prokaryote. RNAcentral describes it as "bacterial SSU rRNA". It matches the Rfam family "Bacterial small subunit ribosomal RNA", at positions 355 to 796 of the family's 1533-position model. The record is from RNAcentral.
UGGGGAAUCUUAGACAAUGGGGGAAACCCUGAUCUAGCCAUGCCGCGUGAGUGAUGAAGGCCUUAGGGUCGUAAAGCUCUUUCGCCAGGGAUGAUAAUGACAGUACCUGGUAAAGAAACCCCGGCUAACUCCGUGCCAGCAGCCGCGGUAAUACGGAGGGGGUUAGCGUUGUUCGGAAUUACUGGGCGUAAAGCGCGCGUAGGCGGAUUGGUCAGUUGGGGGUGAAAUCCCGGGGCUCAACCUCGGAACUGCCUUCAAUACUGCCAGUCUCGAGUCCGGAAGAGGUGAGUGGAAUUCCUAGUGUAGAGGUGAAAUUCGUAGAUAUUAGGAAGAACACCAGUGGCGAAGGCGGCUCACUGGUCCGGUACUGACGCUGAGGUGCGAAAGCGUGGGGAGCAAACAGGAUUAGAUACCCCUGUAGUCC